This 941-nucleotide long non-coding RNA is filed under the name Daucus carota (carrot). Its description in RNAcentral is "long non-coding RNA (DCAR_LNC001637)". Lineage: Eukaryota; Viridiplantae; Streptophyta; Magnoliopsida; Apiales; Apiaceae. The record is from RNAcentral.
CUGAGGAUGCAGCUAAAGCAAACAUGCUAAGAGCUAGUGAGCUAUGUAAGGAAAUCAAAGCUGUCCAGGAGUCCAUUGGACAGGUGAAGUUUGCAUCUGUAGAAACCCAGCAAGAUGAAGCAAACAUACAUGCUGAAAAUUAAGGAUGUUCAGAAGCAAUUACAUAAAGCUAAGCUUGAAGAAUCUGCAAAGAAAUUGCUUGCUUAUAUAGCUUUGAAGGAGGAAGUUGAUCCUAAGCUCACUGAACAACUUGAAUCUGAGUUGGCUGAAGCAACCACAGCGAUAGGAGUUGUACGUAAAGAGAGAUCGACAGUGCAAGAACUUCAGAUCUUGAUUCUGUGAAAUUAGCUGUCACUUCAGAGCUGGAGUUGGUCGAGGCAGUGAAAGCUAGCUAGUGAGAAUGAGGCCCUCAAGAGAUUGGAGGCUGCAUAGAAGGAGAUCCAAGAGAUAAAAGCUUCAACACAGUAAUCAUUGAAGAAACCUGAGAUGGCUGAGGCAGCCAAAAAGGCAGUAGAGGGAGAGCUCAGCGUGAACAAAAGAAGGCAGCAGAAACUGCAUCUUGAUCGGAUACCGGCAGAAACAGAAAAGUCAAUAGAGUCAUCACCCAACCACCAUAGUCUCCAAAAUCAUUACCAACCAGAGAAAGUAGAGAAAUCGAGCAAGCUGGAAAUUAAAGGCUAAGACCUCUAUAACAAAAAAAGUUCUAGUACCUAAUCUCAGUGGGUGGAUGGCGGGUCUUAUCUCCCAGGCGAGAGACCAUUUUGAUGCAUAUCUGUGACCAAAAAUUUAAGCAACUAUGAAGCUUGAGCUAACAUUUUGGGUUUGGUUUAGACUGAAUGUAACAUAUUUUGGAUUGUUUUUUUCUUUCCUUUUUACAUGGAACGGGUGAUAUAUUUGGCGGUAAUGGAUUGAAAUAGACUGUAUUUUUACUCGUUUGUUUU